CCAGCUCACGCUCCCUCGCGUGACGGUGACCCCGGCGAGGACAACACUGUGCCCGCGGGGCUCCGGGGGGCAGGACGUGUGCCUGAUGAGCCGCGUCUCCCGGGGCCUAGAGCAGCGGCUGGUACACGGUCUGGGCUCCUCAAGUGCGCCUGAAAGACGAAUAAGGAAUGACACCAGCGCCUGGUCUGAGGCCCUGGGCGCCUGGCGCACACGGGACCUCCCCGAGCGCUCACCGCUAGCCGAGCGGGGAAGGGGAUCACUCGCCCCCACUUCACAGACCAGGAAACCGAGGCUCAGACACGGGAGGCCGCUUGCCCGGAGGCGCACGGCCGGGCAAUCCCUGGGUGAGUGUCUCUCUGCCCUUCUUCAACUCUGGCGGGUUCCGCCUUGUUUCUUCUGUCCCUGGGAAUGCCCUGGUGUCUCUCCCUGGCCCUCUGGCUCGGACUCUCUCUCCCUCCCGGGUGGCCCUGUCUGCUUCUCUUCCUCAACGCCAUGUCUCCUUCCUCCCCCCAGAAUGGCUGCCGCUCUCCCAGCCAGGUUCGGGUGAGGGGAGGCAGAGGGGGGCCUUCCUGGGACCCAGCCGCGCCCUGACCCAGGAGCAGCGACGUGGGAUCCUCCACUCAGGCCCACAGCCCAAGAUUCCAUAGUCCAAGAUUCCAGAAGAAGAAUCCAGGAUGGGAAGGGUGGGGUCAGAGGGAGAAUGCUGAAAGAAGGUUCUGGAAGAUGUCUUCUUUGGGGCUGGAUGUGUCUUCACACGCUGCCAACCUGCAAGUCCAAACUCGACUGUGACUUUGCUGUGGGCCCAAGUGUCAGCAGUCGAUCUGUUAUCAGUUGAUGGCGGGCUCGUUUCUCAGAAGCCAGGCGCGCGCGCACGUGCCGGAGCCCCAUUCUCUGGUGUGGAUCAUGUCUGCAUCGGUUCUGGAAUAAUACUUUCAGGAGCACUGUUUCCAUUCCCAGUGAGUCGUGACCGUGCCUGGGUCUCAGUCCUCGUGCUUUUUCCUGAGUGAUGCCUCGCCUUCCGAAGCCGCGCAGGUUGUAACAGAAUGAGGGUGUGGGAUUCGAGAAACGUCCGGACCUGAGCAACCCCCACCCCCACCGAGUUUCCCCGAGCCCCAGAGACAGCCAGCCCCCCUCCGCCCGCCCGGGACAGCGCUGCCAGUCUGGGCGUCCCGUGGCCACCGUGUCAUGUGUCCCGGGAGUGGAGAGGGGUGGCCAACAGGCUGAGUCGGCGGCAGACCUUCGCCCUCCUGCAGGGAACAACUCUGGUGACUGAAAAGUAACCCCGUGUACCCACCGUGCUUGUGGGCAUUGAAACCCCCAGGCUCUCUGCCAGGGUCAGCGUGUUGGGGACUUUGGGCCGGUUUUGUACACGCUGAACAUCAGUCCGGGGGCCGCUUUGGUUUUAUGUUGUUUUGUGGGAAGAUUUUGGUUUUGAAGUGAUCUCCGCACCCGGCGUGGGGCUGGCACUCCCCACCCAGAGGUCCGGGGUCCCAAGCUUCACGGAGCCAGCCAGGCGCCCCGCGGGGCUGCUUUGGUUUUGUGAGUGAGCCUUCCAAGGAGGAGAAAGACACUGUUCAAAUCUGACUCUUUCUUAAGCGGUGAAUCCACUGGAAACUUACACUUCUAUUUCUGGAUAGAAUACAUUUCCCCAACCCCAUCACCGCGGAGGGAAGCAUUUUCUGUCAUGCUUGCUUCCAUUGAUAAACUGAGGUCGUUAAACUCUCUUACGUAUUUUCAGCC
This is a long non-coding RNA of Herpailurus yagouaroundi (jaguarundi), 1740 nucleotides long. RefSeq lists it as uncharacterized. The record is from RefSeq and is a predicted model, not a curated record. NCBI's taxonomy places the organism in Eukaryota, Metazoa, Chordata, Mammalia, Carnivora, Felidae. The transcript is spliced from 2 exons.